Molecule: long non-coding RNA, 357 nt
Organism: Manduca sexta (tobacco hornworm)
Lineage: Eukaryota; Metazoa; Arthropoda; Insecta; Lepidoptera; Sphingidae
Exons: 2
Source: RefSeq, a predicted model, not a curated record
AGUAUAAAACGGGCCACUAGAAAGCAACAGUAUCAGAACCCGAUAAAGGCGAAGGGAACUACAAGAAUUAUAACCUCAUUAACAAUGAAGAUCAUUAUGCAAAUAAUAAUGGUGCUGGCGUGUGUUCUGAACACAGGUUUCGGUCUGGUUUUAUUGGACACGUUGACAAACACUCUCCAGCAGGUGCUCGGAGGCUCCAGCGGUACUGCUACCACAUUACCCAGUGUCACCACAGCAUCCAGUACCACCGAAGCACCCACUACAGUGGCGGCGUAGAGUGGGGUGGCACCCGGGGAGGUAUUCUAACCCCUGCUGCCUACAAACGUAAUAUGUUAAUAAAUACGAAAUAGAAAGUUG